GUAGGUGGCAAGCGUUGUCCGGAAUUAUUGGGCGUAAAGCGCGCGCAGGCGGUUCUUUAAGUCUGAUGUGAAAGCCCACGGCUCAACCGUGGAGGGUCAUUGGAAACUGGAGAACUUGAGUACAGAAGAGGAAAGCGGAAUUCCACGUGUAGCGGUGAAAUGCGUAGAGAUGUGGAGGAACACCAGUGGCGAAGGCGGCUUUCUGGUCUGUAACUGACGCUGAGGCGCGAAAGCGUGGGGAGCAAACAGGGAUUAGAUACCCUGGCAGUCCACGCCGUAAACGAUGAGUGCUAAGUGUUAGGGGGGUUUCCGCCCCCCUUAGUGCUGCAGCUAACGCAUUAAGCACUCCGCCUGGGAGUACGGCCGCAAGGCUG
Molecule: ribosomal RNA, 374 nt
Filed under: uncultured organism
Description: partial 16S ribosomal RNA
Rfam family: Bacterial small subunit ribosomal RNA
Source: RNAcentral